This is a non-coding RNA of Cinara cedri, 333 nucleotides long. Lineage: Eukaryota; Metazoa; Arthropoda; Insecta; Hemiptera; Aphididae. The record is from the annotation of a GenBank genome assembly.
GCUAAAACCAUUUUAUUCUCAUAAAACCAAAUACAAACUACAAAAAAAAAGAUACAAGCUCAUCCACUCUACUAAUAGGUAAACCACCAUUCAUUUAAUGCUAUUUACUUUGGGCAGCACAAGCAAUGCAACCUGAAUUAUUCUCCCUAUACAGCCAACGUACCAGUAAAGCUAAAAUGGUUUUAAUCAUGAACACCUAAAUUACACCCUCUACAAUACAAGCUCAAUUUUAUGAGUUUCAAACAUUUAAAAUGUAUAUAAAUAAUUCAAAAGUCAUCAGAAUUAUUUUUAUAUAUAAACAAAAAUAAGAUAAAAAGCUAACAUGAGAAUUCG